CUAUACAUGACUCUGCGCAUAUCAAUAAGCGGAGGAAAAGAAACUAACAAGGAUUCCCUUAGUAACGGCGAGUGAAGCGGGAAGAGCUCAAAUUUGAAAUCUUCAAGGUUCUACCUUGACGAAUUGUAGUUUAUAAGAAGUGUUUUCUGUUAGUAGAGUGGCAAAAGUUCUUUGGAAUAGGACAUCAUAGAGGGUGAGAAUCCCGUAUUUGGUCAUUCCUUUCUAGCUUUGUGAUACACUUUCAGAGAGUCGGAUUGUUUGGGAAUGCAGUCCAAAAUGGGUGGUAAAUUUCAUCUAAAGCUAAAUACUGGCGAGAGACCGAUAGCGAACAAGUACCGUGAGGGAAAGAUGAAAAGAACUUAGAAAAGAGAGUUAAACAGUACGUGAAAUUGUCAAAAGGGAAGCGUUCGACACCAGUGCUGUUUUUCCGAAAAUCAAUUAUAAUGGCUUGAUUUAAGUUGUCAUGACCUUAAUAGGCUUUUGCUUAGUUUUCUAUGUCUUUCGUGAAUGCACUUUUCGGUUAACAAGUCAACAUCAAUUUCUUUUGUUGUAAAAAGGUUAAGAGGAAGGUGGCUUUAAGCUUUCGGGUAAGUGUUUAUAGCCUUUUACCUCUGCAGUCGGAGAGAUUGAGGUCUGCAGCGUAGAUCCUUCGGGUUAGAUACAUUUGUGCUAAGUUAUAGCUUUUCAUAGACAACUUGUUGACUAUGUUUAGUCUUGUGACUUACUCGCUUACGCUAUUUUACCUACGCUUAGGAUGUUGAUAUGCAUGACUGAUAU
This 777-nucleotide ribosomal RNA is filed under the name uncultured Neocallimastigales. Its description in RNAcentral is "partial large subunit ribosomal RNA". It matches the Rfam family "Eukaryotic large subunit ribosomal RNA", at positions 22 to 640 of the family's 3401-position model. The record is from RNAcentral. Lineage: Eukaryota; Fungi; Neocallimastigomycota; Neocallimastigomycetes; Neocallimastigales.